AAGUUUGCGCAUUUUUCUCAUUUUCACAGAGCAAUGUAAGGCCUUUGCACCUUUCAUGCUUCUUGGAAAAUAUGUUUUCUGCCUGCAUUUUUCAAUUUUUUACAAGUUUGGACCCUUUCAAAGGACAUUUGUCUCCAGUAAAGCGGAUGCCAUUUUCUGUCUGAACGAGGUUGGAGUUUAACAGGGUUGAAAUCUUCAAGAAAAAUUCUUUCUAAUUUCAUGGAAAUCUUCAAGAGGAAGAUGGGUCGGAGAGGCAAGCAGUUAGCUGACCUGCUACAACAGACAACGAGCACUGAGCCAACAGCCAUUAGAAGCCUUGUCCUGAGAGGACUUAAAGUCAUUCUUAGGGACAAUGCAUCCAUGUUCUUUCAGAGCAAUUUGAAUCUUAAUGAGGGAGACUCCGGCGACAUUCCAGUGGCAUUACUCUGCUAUGAGGACAACAGCGCUGCAAGCCCAGCAUCACCACAACUAAACCCUUCAUGAGUGGGAAUCAUCCUAGAGGGCAGCCCUGUAAUGGACACACUCACCAACCUACCUCAAGCAAUGUGCCUCUUGUUUGGCUUUACCUCCACACUCCACCUGCACUACCUGAGGAGCAUGAACACCUUUACCUUCAUUCAGCAGGUCAUAAUAAAUUCAGGCCGAAGAGAGCUACCUCCAAAGACUCAAAAGCUGAAGAAUGAGCUUGCAGUGCAAGGCACAACUCUUCAAGCCCAUGUCUGGAUUAUUGCACAGUUAAAUUGCACUGACUGAAACAAAUAUUCAUGCUGUUGCUCAUUUUGUAUGUGAUUCCUCUUGUACAAGAUGCAUCUAGUAUUGUUUAUUUUACUAAAAUUAUUCCACAGAGGACAUAUUUUAGAAAGUUGCAGUUUUUUUUAAACCCAUUCUUGUCCUCACUGCAUGUUGAGCAAUAUUUGUUGUUUUGUUAUGUUUCAAUAAAAUGAAUUAAAUGUG
Molecule: long non-coding RNA, 954 nt
Organism: Amphiprion ocellaris (clown anemonefish)
Lineage: Eukaryota; Metazoa; Chordata; Actinopteri; Pomacentridae
Exons: 4
Source: RefSeq, a predicted model, not a curated record